AUGAUAGAAUUGGCCAACAGAUUAGAUACUGCAAGAGAAAAGAAUAGCAAAUUUGAUGACAUACAUUUAAAAAAUAUCCAGUAUAGGGCGAGCGAGCAAGAUGGCUGCCUCCGCGGUGGCGGGCGCCGUGAGAGGCGCUUCAGAGUGGACCCCUUCACUCCCAGUGCCCUGAAGCUACCAGUCAGAACUGUAACAUACUUCAGUUCACGAAAAGGAAAGAGAAAGACUGUAAAAGCUGUAGUCUAUCGGUUUCUUCGACUUCAUUCUGGCCUUUGGCUAAGGAGAAAGGCAGGUUAUAAGAAAAAAUUAUGGAAAAAGACAACUGCAAGAAAAAGACGCUUGAGAGAAUUUGUGUUCUGUAAUAAAACCCAGAGUAAACUCUUAGAUAAAAUGACAACAUCUUUCUGGAAGAGGCGAAACUGGUACGUUGAUGAUCCUUAUCUGAAGUAUCAUGAUCGGACAAACCUGAAAGUAUAG
Molecule: non-coding RNA, 477 nt
Organism: Castor canadensis (American beaver)
Lineage: Eukaryota; Metazoa; Chordata; Mammalia; Rodentia; Castoridae
Source: RefSeq, a predicted model, not a curated record